GUUCCUUUGCUUUUUGAAUUUUGGUGUAUAUGCAAGAUCCAAUGAUUUUAAAUCACAUUUUCAGAUUUGACUUAAUGUGUAGUGUCCAUCUCCAUUCAGUCCCUUAGUAGAUCAAGAAUGUCAUGCUAUAGAAUGUACCUCUUUUUUAUUGGAGAAGAUGAUUCUGUUUCCAUUUUGAUAUCAGGUUCAUAAGUAGGGUGUUGCACUUGGAAGAUCUGUUGACUUGACAAAGUUUGAUGGUUAUGACCAAUUGAUCGAGGAGUUAGAUCAGCUAUUUGAAUUCAAAGGAGAAUUGAUGGCUCCAAAUAAAAAUUGGAUGAUUGUAUUUACUGAUAAUGAGGAUGAUAUGAUGCUUGUUGGAGAUGACCCUUGGCAGGAAUUUUGUGCUAUGGUCUGUCAGAUUUUUAUAUACACAAAAGAGGAGGUCCAGAAGAUGGAUUCAAGUACCUUGAACCCAAAAAAUGAAGAUUGUCCUGAUAUGAAAGAGAAUGUCAAGGAAACAAAAGGCAGUCAAUCUGCAUCAUCAUCUAAUUCAAAAAACUCAUAGGCUUAUCCUGCAAUGCUGACGACAUCUUUGCCAUGUGCAAUUCAAUCUUUGUAGGAUCUUGAAGCACAAACAAAGUGAUUGUUUGUGCUUUAUCUAAGUGAUUGUUUGAACAGUUUUAUAGCAUGCAUCUUGACAAUUAAUAUAAUUUUGAAGAUCACUAUCAAGGAAGAAUGUUCAAAGGAAAGUAAAGGCUAAGGAGAAGAUCACGUAAUUAACUACACGGGUAGGUUUCCGUAAGAAUUCAACUUUUUCUUGAUCUAUUCUUAUGUAGUCCAUGGUACACAUUAAAGAUUUCACUGUAGCUUAUUUUCAGUAUUCUAACAUGUAAAUUAAUACACUUAUGUGGAUCCUCCAAACAAUCUAAGUUGUGAUGGAUUGAUAUCCCUUUAUGUUCCAAACCUUUGUUUUUUUUUGGAGCUUGUAAUUUUCAUUGCAAAAAAUCCAUAUGGUGUAUGAAUUACAUUCAGUCCAGUAUAAACUUAGCACUUUCGCUUCAGAGGCAAUUUAUGGGUUUUAUUCUACAAUCAUGUUUACUAAUUGAUCAGAUUGAUUAAGAAGGACGUUGGAGUAGCUUGGUAAAUUUGUUUUGCUAGGUUAUUAUAAAUUAGCAUUCAGCAGAAUAGAUGUUUGGAUUUCUUCUUCAAAUCACACAGUAAUAUUUCUCUUGUCAUUGGUGAAACAAUCAAUCCACUCUCAUUAUAACUUCCACAACAGAAAAUUUUAUGUUAUUUGCCUACUACCAAUGCAGUUUAACUGAUUUUACAUUGACUGAACAAGGUUGAUUUUAUUUAGGUCUAGUGAAAAUACUGAAGAAGUAU
Molecule: RNA transcript, 1365 nt
Organism: Zingiber officinale
Lineage: Eukaryota; Viridiplantae; Streptophyta; Magnoliopsida; Zingiberales; Zingiberaceae
Gene name: SPX domain-containing protein 1-like
Exons: 4
Source: RefSeq, a predicted model, not a curated record